Molecule: ribosomal RNA, 548 nt
Filed under: Salmonella enterica subsp. enterica serovar Cubana
Lineage: Bacteria; Pseudomonadati; Pseudomonadota; Gammaproteobacteria; Enterobacterales; Enterobacteriaceae
Description: bacterial SSU rRNA
Rfam family: Bacterial small subunit ribosomal RNA
Source: RNAcentral
UUUCCAGAGAUGGACUGGUGCCUUCGGGAACUGUGAGACAGGUGCUGCAUGGCUGUCGUCAGCUCGUGUUGUGAAAUGUUGGGUUAAGUCCCGCAACGAGCGCAACCCUUAUCCUUUGUUGCCAGCGGUCCGGCCGGGAACUCAAAGGAGACUGCCAGUGAUAAACUGGAGGAAGGUGGGGAUGACGUCAAGUCAUCAUGGCCCUUACGACCAGGGCUACACACGUGCUACAAUGGCGCAUACAAAGAGAAGCGACCUCGCGAGAGCAAGCGGACCUCAUAAAGUGCGUCGUAGUCCGGAUUGGAGUCUGCAACUCGACUCCAUGAAGUCGGAAUCGCUAGUAAUCGUGGAUCAGAAUGCCACGGUGAAUACGUUCCCGGGCCUUGUACACACCGCCCGUCACACCAUGGGAGUGGGUUGCAAAAGAAGUAGGUAGCUUAACCUUCGGGAGGGCGCUUACCACUUUGUGAUUCAUGACUGGGGUGAAGUCGUAACAAGGUAACCGUAGGGGAACCUGCGGUUGGAUCACCUCCUUACCUUAAAGAAGC